Molecule: ribosomal RNA, 794 nt
Filed under: Helix fathallae
Lineage: Eukaryota; Metazoa; Mollusca; Gastropoda; Stylommatophora; Helicidae
Description: partial 16S ribosomal RNA
Source: RNAcentral
AUUAACAAAAUAAAGUAAAUACACUAUCACGAAAGGCAGUGAGCUAAACAAAUAUAUUUUUUAACAGUACGUAGUAUAGUAUUUUUAUAAUAUAUGUUUAGGGGUGAUAGACUUUCCAAGCUGUUUAAUAACUUGUUACAUAUGAAAAGUAUUUAGUACAGAGACAGGCUUAGAAAGUUAAGCUUUUAAGUAAUUAUUAAAAAUAUUUUUUUAACAUAAUACAGUAUAAUAGCUAGUUAACAUAAAACUUAAUACUACCCAUGUAUUUUUAUAUAUAAUAAUAUGUUAACGUAAAGUUAUUUUAGCGUUUGAUAAUGUUAGUAUUAGUACUAUUUAAAGUGUGCUAAAGGAACUCGGCAAAAUACUGCUCAACUGUUUAUCAAAAACAUAGCUAUAUGAGUUAAUAUAUAGUUAUUUCUGCUCCAUGAUUAUUAAAUAGCCGCAGUACUCUGACUGUGCAAAGGUAGCAUAAUCAGUUGGCUUUUAAUUGAAGUCUGGUAUGAAUGAAAAUAUGGGUGGUGACUGUCUUGGCAUAUUAAUUCGAAUUUGUUAAGCAAGUGCAAAUACUUGCAAAUUUCAAAAAGACGAGAAGACCCUAGAAACUUGAAAUAGUUUUUGUUGGGGCGACAGAAUUACAUUUAACUAAUUUUAAAGACAUGAAACUUAGUUGAAAGAGUAAGUUACUCUAGGGAUAACAGCAUAAUUUUAACAGUUUGUGACCUCGAUGUUGGACUAGGUAUUAUACCCUUAAGGCAAGGUUAUAAGAUGCUCUGUUCGAGCAAUUUCACCUACAU